RNAcentral lists this ribosomal RNA (2906 nucleotides) under Klebsiella variicola. RNAcentral describes it as "bacterial LSU rRNA". It matches the Rfam family "Bacterial large subunit ribosomal RNA". Lineage: Bacteria; Pseudomonadati; Pseudomonadota; Gammaproteobacteria; Enterobacterales; Enterobacteriaceae. The record is from RNAcentral.
GGUUAAGCGACUAAGCGUACACGGUGGAUGCCCUGGCAGUCAGAGGCGAUGAAGGACGUGCUAAUCUGCGAAAAGCGUCGGUAAGGUGAUAUGAACCGUUACAGCCGGCGAUGUCCGAAUGGGGAAACCCAGUGCAAUUCGUUGCACUAUCGUUAACUGAAUACAUAGGUUAACGAGGCGAACCGGGGGAACUGAAACAUCUAAGUACCCCGAGGAAAAGAAAUCAACCGAGAUUCCCCCAGUAGCGGCGAGCGAACGGGGAGCAGCCCAGAGUCUGAAUCAGCUUGUGUGUUAGUGGAACGGUCUGGAAAGUCCGACGGUACAGGGUGAUAGUCCCGUACACCAAAAUGCACAGGUUGUGAACUCGAAGAGUAGGGCGGGACACGUGGUAUCCUGUCUGAAUAUGGGGGGACCAUCCUCCAAGGCUAAAUACUCCUGACUGACCGAUAGUGAACCAGUACCGUGAGGGAAAGGCGAAAAGAACCCCGGCGAGGGGAGUGAAAAAGAACCUGAAACCGUGUACGUACAAGCAGUGGGAGCACCUUUAUGGUGUGACUGCGUACCUUUUGUAUAAUGGGUCAGCGACUUAUAUUCUGUAGCAAGGUUAACCGUAUAGGGGAGCCGCAGGGAAACCGAGUCUUAACUGGGCGUUAAGUUGCAGGGUAUAGACCCGAAACCCGGUGAUCUAGCCAUGGGCAGGUUGAAGGUUGGGUAACACUAACUGGAGGACCGAACCGACUAAUGUUGAAAAAUUAGCGGAUGACUUGUGGCUGGGGGUGAAAGGCCAAUCAAACCGGGAGAUAGCUGGUUCUCCCCGAAAGCUAUUUAGGUAGCGCCUCGUGAACUCAUCUUCGGGGGUAGAGCACUGUUUCGGCUAGGGGGUCAUCCCGACUUACCAACCCGAUGCAAACUACGAAUACCGAAGAAUGUUAUCACGGGAGACACACGGCGGGUGCUAACGUCCGUCGUGAAGAGGGAAACAACCCAGACCGCCAGCUAAGGUCCCAAAGUCAUGGUUAAGUGGGAAACGAUGUGGGAAGGCACAGACAGCCAGGAUGUUGGCUUAGAAGCAGCCAUCAUUUAAAGAAAGCGUAAUAGCUCACUGGUCGAGUCGGCCUGCGCGGAAGAUGUAACGGGGCUAAACCAUGCACCGAAGCUGCGGCAGCGACACUUAUGUGUUGUUGGGUAGGGGAGCGUUCUGUAAGCCUGCGAAGGUGGCCUGUGAGGGCUGCUGGAGGUAUCAGAAGUGCGAAUGCUGACAUAAGUAACGAUAAAGCGGGUGAAAAGCCCGCUCGCCGGAAGACCAAGGGUUCCUGUCCAACGUUAAUCGGGGCAGGGUGAGUCGACCCCUAAGGCGAGGCCGAAAGGCGUAGUCGAUGGGAAACAGGUUAAUAUUCCUGUACUUGGUGUUACUGCGAAGGGGGGACGGAGAAGGCUAUGUUAGCCGGGCGACGGUUGUCCCGGUUUAAGCAUGUAGGCGGAGGUUCCAGGUAAAUCCGGUACCUUUUAACGCUGAGGUGUGAUGACGAGGCACUACGGUGCUGAAGUAACAAAUGCCCUGCUUCCAGGAAAAGCCUCUAAGCAUCAGGUAACAUCAAAUCGUACCCCAAACCGACACAGGUGGUCAGGUAGAGAAUACCAAGGCGCUUGAGAGAACUCGGGUGAAGGAACUAGGCAAAAUGGUGCCGUAACUUCGGGAGAAGGCACGCUGGUGUGUAGGUGAAGUCCCUGCGGACGGAGCUGAGACCAGUCGAAGAUACCAGCUGGCUGCAACUGUUUAUUAAAAACACAGCACUGUGCAAACACGAAAGUGGACGUAUACGGUGUGACGCCUGCCCGGUGCCGGAAGGUUAAUUGAUGGGGUUAUCCGUAAGGAGAAGCUCUUGAUCGAAGCCCCGGUAAACGGCGGCCGUAACUAUAACGGUCCUAAGGUAGCGAAAUUCCUUGUCGGGUAAGUUCCGACCUGCACGAAUGGCGUAAUGAUGGCCAGGCUGUCUCCACCCGAGACUCAGUGAAAUUGAACUCGCUGUGAAGAUGCAGUGUACCCGCGGCAAGACGGAAAGACCCCGUGAACCUUUACUAUAGCUUGACACUGAACAUUGAGCCUUGAUGUGUAGGAUAGGUGGGAGGCUUUGAAGCGUGGACGCCAGUCUGCGUGGAGCCAACCUUGAAAUACCACCCUUUAAUGUUUGAUGUUCUAACGUUGGCCCCUUAUCGGGGUUGCGGACAGUGUCUGGUGGGUAGUUUGACUGGGGCGGUCUCCUCCCAAAGAGUAACGGAGGAGCACGAAGGUUAGCUAAUCCUGGUCGGACAUCAGGAGGUUAGUGCAAUGGCAUAAGCUAGCUUGACUGCGAGCGUGACGGCGCGAGCAGGUGCGAAAGCAGGUCAUAGUGAUCCGGUGGUUCUGAAUGGAAGGGCCAUCGCUCAACGGAUAAAAGGUACUCCGGGGAUAACAGGCUGAUACCGCCCAAGAGUUCAUAUCGACGGCGGUGUUUGGCACCUCGAUGUCGGCUCAUCACAUCCUGGGGCUGAAGUAGGUCCCAAGGGUAUGGCUGUUCGCCAUUUAAAGUGGUACGCGAGCUGGGUUUAGAACGUCGUGAGACAGUUCGGUCCCUAUCUGCCGUGGGCGCUGGAGAAUUGAGGGGGGCUGCUCCUAGUACGAGAGGACCGGAGUGGACGCAUCACUGGUGUUCGGGUUGUCAUGCCAAUGGCACUGCCCGGUAGCUAAAUGCGGAAGAGAUAAGUGCUGAAAGCAUCUAAGCACGAAACUUGCCCCGAGAUGAGUUCUCCCUGAGACUUUAAGUCUCCUGAAGGAACGUUAAAGACGAUGACGUUGAUAGGCCGGGUGUGUAAGCGCAGCGAUGCGUUGAGCUAACCGGUACUAAUGAACCGUGAGGCUUAACCUU